CUACGGGUCGCACCAGUGGGGAAUAUUGCACAAUGGGCGCAAGCCUGAUGCAGCCAUGCCGCGUGUAUGAAGAAGGCCUUCGGGUUGUAAAGUACUUUCAGCGGGGAGGAAGGGAGUAAAGUUAAUACCUUUGCUCAUUGACGUUACCCGCAGAAGAAGCACCGGCUAACUCCGUGCCAGCAGCCGCGGUAAUACGGAGGGUGCAAGCGUUAAUCGGAAUUACUGGGCGUAAAGAGCACGCAGGCGGUUUGUUAAGUCAGAUGUGAAAUCCCCGGGCUCAACCUGGGAACUGCAUCUGAUACUGGCAAGCUUGAGUCUCGUAGAGGGGGGUAGAAGUCCAGGUGUAGCGGUGAAAUGCGUAGAGAUCUGGAGGAAUACCGGUGGCGAAGGCGGCCCCCUGGACGAAGACUGACGCUCAGGUGCGAAAGCGUGGGGAGCAAACAGGAUUAGAUACCCGUGUAGUC
This 464-nucleotide ribosomal RNA is filed under the name uncultured bacterium. Its description in RNAcentral is "partial 16S ribosomal RNA". It matches the Rfam family "Bacterial small subunit ribosomal RNA", at positions 339 to 795 of the family's 1533-position model. The record is from RNAcentral.